UUUGAAAAAUGUCGCACGUCGUACGAGUUGUCGCACGGUUGUGAUUUUACCGUUUUGAUAUCGAUUGGUCGAAAGGACGACAAACGGACGACAAACACUCGACAUGCUCGACAUGGUUUUUUUCAAUCGAUUUACCUUCAAUUCGACGUCGAUUAUCGUCGACGCAAACAGUUUGACAGUUCUCUUCUGUUGAUCUUGUUCGGACUUGAUUGCAACCGAGUCGAACCAGUUGUUGUUGCUUUUAGGCUUUUGGAGGAUUUUGGACAGUUAAUAGGUAAGUUGUUUACUAGGUUCAAUUACUUUUUCUGCCGGAAAGUUCCGGCCGGAGUGGGCGAGCGACCGAAUCAAAGUGUCUUGUAUUCCAGAUUUCGGUCUUCGUGGCGGAGGAGGAGGAGGACGGGAAAUAUGGUUUACUCGGCGGGCCAUUCCGGAAGACGGGACGGGAAGGAACCAGUUUGCGAUCGUGGAAGCGGUUGGUGUUUGGUGUUUGGUGUUUUACCGUCCGCGGGAGGUUGCGACGCAUACCUAAUGGAACUGGCAACAAACAUAUUCCAAUCUGAUUCUGCCGGAAACCGAAAUGCGUUCCCGUGUGGUCACUCGUGGCUUCCGUAGAAUCCACGGAAGCAGCCCCGUUUUUUCGUACUCGUACUCCACAAAACCCACGUUUCCUCGUACUCCGGUAAACAUCAAUCCGUCGGAGAUCCAAGAUCGUCGCCAAGGCGUCGCAUCCGGGUUUUGAUCAGCUCGUCGAGGAACAAAAGUCCAACACGACCAAGAUGCUGCCACGGCCGCCUCAGAAGAACACCAACACCCAAGCCGGAAGCUGCGGUCAAGGCAAAUCCAGAAGGAAGCCAAGUUGGGGAAGAAUCGGCGA
Culex pipiens pallens (northern house mosquito) is the source of this 874-nucleotide long non-coding RNA. RefSeq lists it as uncharacterized. The transcript has 2 exons. NCBI's taxonomy places the organism in Eukaryota, Metazoa, Arthropoda, Insecta, Diptera, Culicidae. The record is from RefSeq and is a predicted model, not a curated record.